AUUGAACGCUGGCGGCAGGCUUAACACAUGCAAGUCGAGCGGGGUGAUGGUGCUUGCACUAUCACUUAGCGGCGGACGGGUGAGUAAUGCUUAGGAAUCUGCCUAUUAGUGGGGGACAACAUCUCGAAAGGGAUGCUAAUACCGCAUACGUCCUACGGGAGAAAGCAGGGGAUCACUUGUGACCUUGCGCUAAUAGAUGAGCCUAGGUCGGAUUAGCUAGUGGGUGGGGUAAAGGCCUAGCAAGGCGACGAUCUGUAGCGGGUCUGAGAGGAUGAUCCGCCACACUGGGACUGAGACACGGCCCAGACUCCUACGGGAGGCAGCAGUGGGGAAUAUUGGACAAUGGGGGGAACCCUGAUCCAGCCAUGCCGCGUAUGUGAAGAAGGCCUUAUGGUUGUAAAGCACUUUAAGCGAGGAGGAGGCUCUUUUGGUUAAUACCCAAGAUGAGUGGACGUUACUCGCAGAAUAAGCACCGGCUAACUCUGUGCCAGCCGCCGCAGUAA
RNAcentral lists this ribosomal RNA (503 nucleotides) under uncultured bacterium. Its description in RNAcentral is "partial 16S ribosomal RNA". It matches the Rfam family "Bacterial small subunit ribosomal RNA", at positions 30 to 523 of the family's 1533-position model. The record is from RNAcentral.